RNAcentral lists this ribosomal RNA (402 nucleotides) under uncultured bacterium. Its description in RNAcentral is "partial 16S ribosomal RNA". It matches the Rfam family "Bacterial small subunit ribosomal RNA", at positions 355 to 774 of the family's 1533-position model. The record is from RNAcentral.
UGGGGAAUCUUCGACAAUGGGGGCAACCCUGAUCUAGCCAUGCCGCGUGAGUGAUGAAGGCCUUAGGGUUGUAAAGCUCUUUCAGCUGGGAAGAUAAUGACGGUACCAGCAGAAGAAGCCCCGGCUAACUCCGUGCCAGCAGCCGCGGUAAUACGGAGGGGGCUAGCGUUGUUCGGAAUUACUGGGCGUAAAGCGCACGUAGGCGGACUGGAAAGUUGGGGGUGAAAUCCCGGGGCUCAACCUCGGAACUGCCUUCAAAACUAUCAGUCUGGAGUUCGAGAGAGGUGAGUGGAAUUCCGAGUGUAGAGGUGAAAUUCGUAGAUAUUCGGAGGAACACCAGUGGCGAAGGCGGCUCACUGGCUCGAUACUGACGCUGAGGUGCGAAAGCGUGGGGAGCAAACA